UUACAAAAUGGAGUUACUUUUUGAUGGUUAACCAAGCUGGAGUUGAAGACUUUUUGGUAGUUAACUUGAACACUUGUUUUGAAAGAUUGGCCUCAUUAGCCUACCCACACUCAACGGGUUGGAUGUGAAAAACCGUCAAUUCGGAUAUCCAGGUCAACAUACCUACUUGUACCAGCAUAGACUUGCUGAGAUUGAGUUUGGUAUACUACAAUAGUGUUAAAAGGGCAUAGAAUAUGAAGAUGUGACUGAUUUUCUCGUUAGUUUUCCUGGUUUUUUAUUCUUGGCAACAAUAAUAGAACUCCUUAAAUUUCCUUUUUUCUGGAUGAGCGAGUGUUUCUUAUUGUAUAUCAUUGUUUGUCAAUUCAGGUAGCGAAGGAUAAAGGUAGUGAUUGCGGGGAGGAUUAAGAUGGUGAUUGCGGCGUUAUAUUUUUAAGCUUCAGUUACUUGUAAAUAUGGUUGAUAGAAUAUUUCCCUUUAUCUUAGUUGUAACUUAGUUGGAUUUGCAGGAUCUUGUAUUUAUAACUUCGAUUAAAGUAUUUGUAAAUGUUGAUUGGCAAUCGAAUUUUAUAUGUUUAAGAA
Rhododendron vialii is the source of this 579-nucleotide long non-coding RNA. RefSeq lists it as uncharacterized. NCBI's taxonomy places the organism in Eukaryota, Viridiplantae, Streptophyta, Magnoliopsida, Ericales, Ericaceae. The record is from RefSeq and is a predicted model, not a curated record. The transcript has 2 exons.